GUGGGGAAUCUUCCGCAAUGGACGAAAGUCUGACGGAGCAACGCCGCGUGAGUGAAGAAGGUUUUCGGAUCGUAAAGCUCUUUCGUUAGGGACGAACGUGCUCUUUGUGAAUAAUGAGGAGUAAUGACGGUACCUAAAUAAGAAGCCACGGCUAACUACGUGCCAGCAGCCGCGGUAAUACGUAGGUGGCAAGCGUUGUCCGGAAUUAUUUGGCGUAAAGCGCGCGCAGGCGGGAUAUCAAGUCUGUCUUAAAAGUGCGGGGCUCAACCUCGUGAGGGGACAGAAACUGGUAUUCUUGAGUGUCGGAGAGGAAAGUGGAAUUCCAAGUGUAGCGGUGAAAUGCGUAGAGAUUUGGAAGAACACCAGUGGCGAAGGCGACUUUCUGGACGAUGUCUGACGCUGAGGCGCGAAAGCUAGGGGAGCGAACGGGAUUAGAUACCCUGGUAGUCC
This 450-nucleotide ribosomal RNA is filed under the name uncultured bacterium. Its description in RNAcentral is "partial 16S ribosomal RNA". It matches the Rfam family "Bacterial small subunit ribosomal RNA", at positions 354 to 796 of the family's 1533-position model. The record is from RNAcentral.